GACAGAGGGUGCAACCGUUGUUCGGAAUUACUGGGCGUAAAGCGCGUGUAGGCUGCUUGGAAAGUCGGAUGUGAAAGCCCUGGGCUCAACCCAGGAAGUGCACUCGAAACUUCCGAGCUCGAGUUCUGGAGAGGAUAGCGGAAUUCUCGGUGUAGAGGUGAAAUUCGUAGAUAUCGAGAGGAACACCGGUGGCGAAGGCGGCUAUCUGGACAGAAACUGACGCUGAGACGCGAAAGCGUGGGGAGCAAACAGG
This 253-nucleotide ribosomal RNA is filed under the name uncultured bacterium. RNAcentral's name for it is "partial 16S ribosomal RNA". It matches the Rfam family "Bacterial small subunit ribosomal RNA", at positions 524 to 776 of the family's 1533-position model. The record is from RNAcentral.